This 322-nucleotide unclassified non-coding RNA is filed under the name Hevea brasiliensis (rubber tree). Lineage: Eukaryota; Viridiplantae; Streptophyta; Magnoliopsida; Malpighiales; Euphorbiaceae. The record is from RNAcentral.
CGUUUCUUCUCUUCACCCAGUAUAAAUGCCUUCCGUUGUUUGAUUCGUUUAAUCCGAUUCCUUCCCUGGACGCUUCCCUUAUUUGGCCGACUUCUCGGUAUGGGUUCUCCAGGGACAUACUGAACCCAAGCAACAGGGCCGCGAGGUCUCAGGCUUGCUCUCUUCCUUCGAGACCUCAUUCCAGGCCUUGUCUUUGGGAGUCUAGUUUCAGUCAGGUACCUGAAAUCCGCACCGGCGAGGGUAGUAGUACAUAAUGCUCUCAAAGGAGAAAUGCAGUGUGGCUUGAAGAGAACAGUUGGCUGGAAUAUGCUAGGAGAAGUAG